GGAUUGAACGCUGGCGGCAGGCCUAACACAUGCAAGUCGAGCGGCAGCACGGGUACUUGUACCUGGUGGCGAGCGGCGGACGGGUGAGUAAUGCCUAGGAAUCUGCCUGAUAGGUGGGGGAUAACGCUCGGAAACGGACGCUAAUACCGCAUACGUCCUACGGGAGAAAGCGAGGGGACCGUUCGGGCCUUGCGCUAUCAGAUGAGCCGUAGGUCGGAUUAG
Molecule: ribosomal RNA, 222 nt
Filed under: uncultured soil bacterium
Lineage: Bacteria
Description: partial 16S ribosomal RNA
Rfam family: Bacterial small subunit ribosomal RNA
Source: RNAcentral